GAGAACGUAGCUCAGUCGGUAGAGCAACUGACUUUUAAUCCGUAGGUCAUGGGUUCAAGUCCCAUCGUUCUCA
RNAcentral lists this transfer RNA (73 nucleotides) under Planctomycetaceae bacterium. RNAcentral describes it as "tRNA-Lys". It matches the Rfam family "tRNA". Rfam says of the family: Transfer RNA (tRNA) molecules are approximately 80 nucleotides in length. The record is from RNAcentral. RNAcentral also lists the same sequence under 1 other name. Lineage: Bacteria; Pseudomonadati; Planctomycetota; Planctomycetia; Planctomycetales; Planctomycetaceae.